RNAcentral lists this ribosomal RNA (580 nucleotides) under Polystigma sp. Rub1. RNAcentral describes it as "eukaryotic LSU rRNA". The record is from RNAcentral. Lineage: Eukaryota; Fungi; Ascomycota; Sordariomycetes; Phyllachorales; Phyllachoraceae.
UCCGUUGGUGAACCAGCGGAGGGAUCAUUAAUUGAAACACUUCACAACCCUUGUGGACCCUGUAGAAUCGUUUCCUCGAUGGGAAGCCCUCCCGGGAACCGCGCUGGGGCCCUCAAGGGGGAACCGCGAUGGGGCUCGGGGGGAAGGACCAUCAAAGGAGCCCCCAACAAAAUCAUUUCGAACGAGGAUCUGAGUGGGAUACUUGAAUCAAUCAAAACUUUCAACAACGGAUCUCUUGGUUCUGGCAUCGAUGAAGAACGCAGCGAAAUGCGAUAAGUAAUGUGAAUUGCAGAAUUCAGUGAAUCAUCGAAUCUUUGAACGCACAUUGCGCCCGCCAGUACUCUGGCGGGCAUGCCUGUCCGAGCGUCGUGUCACAAAUCAAGCCUGGCUUGCUGUUGGGAGACCAUCCUGCACGGGUGCCUCCCCAAAUCCAUCGGCGGAGUCGUGGUGACCCUGAGCGUAGUGAGAAUCUCGCUUCUGGUGGAUCCAUGGCCCUUGCCGUAAAACCCCCRAAAUUUCUGGUCGACCUCGGAUCAGGUAGGGCUACCCGCUGAACUUAAGCAUAUCAAUAAGCGGAGGA